CUUAAAGGUGUAAGGAUUUUUAAUUAAAGAUGGGCUUGUAUGUGUGAAUAAUUGUGUGUUAAAUUAUAGGCUAUCGAAUUCGGUUGAGCCCAAUUAAAGUAAUCUAAUAAGGCUUCGAUUUUGGGCUUUAAUGUAUCAAGUUAAAUUAUGAGUUUACAUAUGUGUAGAGACCGGGCUCAAGUCCUAAUUCUAUGAUGGGCCGAAUUAGGUCAAAGGGCAUCCCUAUAUAAAUAGGUUAUGGUCCUCAGAUUACACGCAACGUAUUAUUCAUUCUCAACUGCAUCCCAUCACAGAGAGAAAAAGGAGACUACGUGUAGAUUUGGAAGAUCAUACCGCGAAAUUCAUAUUGCAUUAACCAUGUCUGAUUCAGGUAUGCUUCCGCUUUAAUUCUUGUAUUUCUUGAUGAUUUAACAUGAAAGAUCCAGUAAUUUAAAGCACUAAAUUAUCCAACAAGUGGUAUCGGAGCCUCUUCAUGUUAAAACAUUGAGAAUCAAAUAAUUUAUUUUGGUUCUUGCAAUAUUUUAUAAAGUUUUCAGAUUUGAUGAUUUACGAUUUAUAUUUUGUUGAAUUUGAAAACUUUUGCGGUAUAAUUUUUUGUUAUUUUCGUAAUUUGGAUUAAUGGUUGAGAAAAUUCAGAUUUGGAAUUCGAAUUUUGGUUUCAGAUUUUCAAAAAAAAAAAAAAAUUCAAGAAGAUCUGGCCGGUGGCGGGUGCGCCGCUGGCAUCUGCAGCGCAGCAGCCCAUGCCGCAGCAAAACGCAAUAGCAGCCAGGCGCUGUUGCCUCAUUGCAGCAACGUCGGGCUGCUGCUUGUGCGACGCCGGCGUGGGCCGAUGCUGCUGUUCUUGGCGGCGCCAGUGACCGGCUCCGCUAGGAGAAGAAAGAAAGAAAUUUUUUAUUUUUUUUUGUUUCAGUUUUCUGGAUUUUUUGGGGGCGGGGGCCUCUUCUGUAAAUUAGAUGAAUUGAGGUCCUUAGUUGCAAUUAGGGUUAGGGUUAUAAAAUUAAGGUUUUAGUCCCUAACCUUUAAAUUAUAUUAAGUUUUGGGCCUUUAAGUUUCGAAUUUAAUAAUUCAGUCCCUAAGGUUGUAAAAUUAAUUAAUUCGGGCCAUUAAAGUUCUAAAUUUAUAAUUAAAGCCCUCAAACUUUAAUUACUAGUUCAAAUUGGCCCCCUAAGUUCAUAAUUAAUUCAAAUUGACCCCUAAAGUUUCAAAUUUUUAAAAUUUGAUCCCUAAAGUUUUGAAUUGGUCAAUUUUGGCCCCUAAAGUUUCAAAAUUUGUUCUAAUUGAUCCUAUAAAGUAUUGAAUUAAUUAAUUAUGGUCCAUAAAGUUUCAAGUUUAUUAAUUUCAACCCCUAAAGUUUGGAAUUAAUUAAUUUUGCCUACUUAAAGUUUUGAAUUAUUAAUCCUAAGGCCCCUAAAGUUUAAAACUAAUCAAAAUAUGCAAAAUUGGUGAUUCUCUUUAUCAAAUUUUGGUACUAAACACUCUUUUAAGAGAUAUAAUAUUCGAAAAGAGUUAGUUAAUUGAACAUGUUGCCAAAGCAACCUCUCUUGUGAAAAUUGACUAACUUAGAAUGUUAAAAAGUGUUUGUGCAUGUGUUAUUCAUGGGAAUAUUGGUCGGCCCAAAGGAAGAUCAAUAUUUAGCCGAAUACACGUGCACCUGUGGUGAUAAACGUGUGACGAUUAUUUGAUUUAAUGUGUAAUCAAUAAAUCGAUCCAAAGAAAGAUUUAUUGAUUGACAUGUUGUUUUAUCAUCAAUGUUUGAUCACUACGCCAAGAGUACCGCUUACAAGUAAAUAUCUCUAUCUAAAGACUAAAUAUUGAUGUUGUGCUUGGUAUCUUGUGAUGGACCCUACCACUAUUUGAUAUUAUUAUUAUUUGCAUAUUAAAGAUAUUCAUGUGAGCUAUUCAUAAUAAAUGUUCUCUAAUUCAGUUUCAGGUUCUGCUGCUAAUAUCUCUGCUAGCAUCAAUUCAAUUCCAAUGUUAAAUGGCACAAACUUCAGGGCAUGGCAAGAGAACGUUAUGAUUGUUCUCGGAGUCAUGGACCUAGACCUUGCUUUACGGGUGGAUCAAUCUGCUGCACUUACUGAUAAGAGUACCUCUGAUGAUAAGAGGGAGAUGAAAAAGUGGGAACGAUUGAACCGCAUAAGCUUAAUGGUCAUGAAGCGUGCUAUUCCAGAAGCAUUCUGGCGCACUAUGUCCGAUAAGGUGACUACGACUAAGGGUUUCCUUGAGGACCUUGAGAAGAGGUUUGCCAAGAAUGAAAAGGCUGAAACAAGUACACUUUUGGCAAAUCUUGUCUCAAUGAGGUAUAAAUGGAAAGGAAACAUUCGGGAGUACAUUAUGGAAAUGUCUCACAUUACUUCAAAACUAAAGGCACUCAAGUUGGAUUAAUCUGAAGACUUGUUGGUGCACUUGGUUCUGAUAUCCCUUCUGGCACAUUUCAGUCAAUUCAAGGUGAGCUACAACUGUCAAAAGGACUCGUGGUCCCUUAAUGAGCUCAUCUUACACUGUGUUCAGGAAGAGGAAAUACUGAAGCAUGAGAAGACAGAAAGUGCUCAUUUAGCCACCACCUCUAAGGACAAAAGCAACAAGAAAAGGAAGAUUAAUAAAGAAGCUGCAAGUAUGGCACCGCAAAAGAAACAGCAUAAGGAACCAACUGAAAGUGGUUGUUUCUUCUGUGGAGCUGCAGGUCAUAAGAAGAAGAAUUGCACCAAUUACCACGCAUGGCGUGUAAAGAAAGGUACUCUUCUUCAUUUGGUUUGUUCUAAGGCUAAUUUAACUUUGGUACCUAGACAUACAUGGUGGAUAGAUUCUGGUGCAACAACUCACAUCAGUAUGUCUAUGCAGGGUUGCCUGAGUUGCCGAAAACCAAGUGAUGAUGAAAGAUACAUCUAUGCAGGCGACGACAAUAGAAUGAAAGUAGAGGCAAUAGGAAAAUUUAGAUUAUUGUUAAAGAUUGAAUUUUAUUUGGAUCUUGUUGAGACAUUUAUUGUACCGUCUUUUAGACGGAAUUUGAUUUCUAUUUCUGUUUUGGACAAAUUUGGUUAUACUUGUUCUUUUGGAAAUGGAAAAUUUAGUUUGUUUCAUGAUUCAAAAUUGGUUGGUUCCGGUUCUUUAUCAGGUUACGAUAAUCUUUAUUCAAUUGAUACAAUUGCUUCUUAUAAUGAAACCUUGCAUGUAAGUACUUCAGGUGUAAAGCGAAAAUUAAACGACGAGAAUUCUGCCUCGUUGUGGCACAAGAGAUUAGGUCACAUUUUCAAAAGGAGAAUUGAGAGACUUGUGUCUGACGGGAUUCUCGACCCUCUUGACUUCACAAAUUAUGAUUUGUGUGUCAACUGUCUAAAGGGAAAACAAACCAAUAAAAGGAGAUUUCAAGCCAAUAGGACUUCGGACGUCUUAGAAUUUAUACAUACAGAUAUUUGUGGAUCAUUCCCUACGGGUUCUUGGAAUGGUCAACAAUAUUUUAUAACGUUCAUAGACGAAUUUUUAAGAUAUGGCUACAUAUAUCUCAUUCAUGAAAAAUCACAGUCACUGGAUGUGUUCAAAAACUAUAAAACUGAAAUUGAGAACCAACUCGGCAAAAGGAUUAAAAGCGUCAGAUCUGACCGUGGGGGUGAAUACUAUGGCAGAUAUGACAGUUCAGGUGAACAGCGUUCAGGACCAUUUGCUAAAUUCCUAGAGGAAUGCGGUAUCAUCCCACAGUACACUAUUCCCGGUUCGCCCACUAUGAAUGGUGUUGCUAAAAGAUGAAACAGAACACUUAAGGACAUGGUGAGGAGUAUGAUUAAUCAUUCUACCUUACCAGAAUCUCUCUGGGGUGAAGUAUUAAAGACUGCAGCUUAUAUACUCAACAAAGUUCCAACUAAGGCCAUUGAUAAAAUCCCAUAUGAGCUUUGGAUAGGCAAGAAGCCUAGUUUGAAGCAUAUACAUAUUUAGGGGUGUCCAGCUGAGGCAAGGCUCUAUAAGCCAAAUGAAAAGAAACUGGAUGCAAGGACCAUCACUUGCUAUUUCAUUGGAUAUUCUAAAAGGUCCAGGGGUUACAAGUUUUAUGAUCCCACAACUGAGGCAAUUUUCGAGAUAGGAAAUGCUAGGUUCUUUGAGGAUGUUGAGUUUGUGGAGAGAAGAAAGGGUUACAGGCUUUGUCUUUGAGGAGGAAUAUGUUGAAAUUCCUCUAAUUGCCAUUGAUAAUGAUCAGGUUUCUAUCCCUGAUAUUGUUCAAGAAGCAACUCUGGACCAAGACAAUGUCAUACCUCCCUCUCAAGAUCAACAAAUUGUUCUAGAAGAACAAACUCUACAGCCUCAAGAACCAAUGCCAUUAAGAAGAUCCACUAGUGAGAGAAGAAGUGCGGUUUCGAAUGAUUACAUCGUAUUUCUUCAAGAACAUAAAGUUGACAUUGGAAUGGUGGAAGAUGAUCCGAUCAACUUCUGUCAAGUCAUGGAAAGUUCUAACUCUCAAAAGUGGCUUGAUGCUAUGAAUGAAGAGAUAAAAUCCAUGAAGGAUAAUGACGUAUGGGACCUCGUUCCAUUGCCUGAAGGUGCGAAACCCAUUGGUUGCAAAUGGAUAUUUAAGACCAAGAGUGAUUCAAAAGGUGAUGUAGAAAGGUAUAAGGCUCGUCUUGUCGCAAAGGGCUUUACACAGAAAGAAGGCAUCGAUUAUAAAGAGACUUUCUCUCCGGUUUCUUCAAAAGACUCUUUCAGGACUAUAAUGGCAUUGGUAGCGCAUUUCAAUCUUGAGCUACAUCAGAUGGAUGUUAAGACAGUGUUUCUCAAUGGCGACAUAGAUGAAACAAUUUAUAUGGUACAACCAGAAAACUUUGUAUCGGACGAUUCAAAGCAAAUGGUUUGUAAAUUAAAGAAAUCCAUCUAUGGACUCAAACAGGCAUCUCGUCAAUGGUAUUACAAGUUUCAUCAGGUGAUCAUCUCAUUAGGUUUUGAGAUGAAUUUGGUCGAUGAUUGUAUAUACCACAAGUUCAGUGGGAGCAAGUAUAUUUUUCUAGUUUUAUAUGUCGAUGACAUAUUGCUUGCCAGCAACGAUAUAGGCUUAUUGCACGAAACCAAGAGAUUUCUAGCAAAGAAUUUUGAGAUGAAAGAUCUUGGUGAUGCCUCUUUUGUAUUAGGAAUUCAGAUACACCGAAAUCGUUCUCGAGGUAUUCUUGGAUUAUCACAAAAGAGCUAUAUCGAAAAGGUACUUAGAAGAUAUAGCAUGCAAGAUUGUAAACCAUGUGACACCCCUGUGGCUAAAGGAGACAAGUUCAGCUUAAGUCUGUGCCCUAAAAAUGACUUGGAAAUUAAAGAAAUGUAGAAGAUUCCUUAUUCCUCAGCUAUAGGGAGUCUGAUGUAUGCUCAGGUUUGUACGCGUCCGGAUAUAGCGUACAUUGUUGGGAUGCUAGGGAGAUAUUUAAGUAACCCGGGAAUAGAUCAUUGGAAAGUAGCCAAACGGGUCAUGCGGCAUUUACAGAGAACAAAAGACUACAUGCUCACAUACAGAAGAUCGGAUCAGUUGGAGAUCAUCGGUUAUUCUGAUUCCGAUUUCUCGGGAUGCCAAGAUUGUAGGAGAUCCACUUCAGGCUAUAUUUACCUACUUGCUGGAGGUGCUAUUUCCUGGAAGAGUGCCAAGCAGACACUCAUAGCUACUUCCACCAUGGCAGCGGAGUUUAUAGCGUGUUAUGAGGCAUCAAAUCAUGGAAUAUGGCUGCAUAAUUUUUGUCACUGGGUUGCGUAUUGUGGACAAUAUAGAAAGACCACUUAAGAUAUUUUGUGACAAUAAAUCGGCAGUGUUGUAGUCUAAUAACAACAGGAGCUCGACGAAGUCAAAACACAUAGAGAUCAAGUUCCUUGCUGUUAAAGAAAGAGUUCAGAGUGGACAGGUGUCAAUAGAGCAUAUUGGGACAAACUCCAUAGUUGCGGAUCCGCUUACUAAGGGAUUGAUACCCAAGGUCUUUCAUGAGCACACUGCUCAUAUGGGUGUAAUGUCUCUUGAGGAUAUCUAGUUUCAGUGGGAGUUUGUAUUUUUUGACUUUUCAUAUUGGACACAUGUACUGUUAUUUUGGAUACGGUUUAAAGUUAAAGUUAUUUUCAAUUAUGAAGUUAUUUGGUUAAUUAUCUCUGAACUUGUUUAAAAUGAUCUUACUAAGGUAUUAAGGUGGACCAGUUGGAAAUAGGCAUGUUACAAAUCACAUUACAUGUAAUUUCCAUGCUACACAUCCAUGCUUGAUUCAUGUCAUUCAGUUAUAUUGAUAUAUGUGACCAUUGAUGGGUUUAGCUACGUGAAAGUAGCGAAAGCCGCUUUGGCCGCUUUGAUCCUAUGUUGAUAUGAUUGAUGGACGGGAUUGUUUGGGGAUACAUUCGGUAAUGAUAGCAAAAUUCUGAGCACUCAUAAGGUUAUGUUUAAUGCACAAUUAUAAGGUAACACAUAUAGCCCAAGUGGGAGAUUGUAAGGAUUUUUAAUUAAAGAUGGGUUUGUAUGUGUGAAUAAUUGUGCGUUAAAUUAUAGGCUAUCGAGUUCAGUUGAGCCCAAUUAAAGUGAUCUAAUAAGGCUUCAAUUUUGAGCUUUAAUGUAUCCAGUUAAAGUAUGGGUUUACAUAUGUGUGGAGACUGGGUCCAAGUCCUAAUUCUAUGAUGGGCCGAAUUAGGUCAAAGGGCAUCCCUAUAUAAAUAGGUUAUGGUUCCCAGAUCACACACAACGUAUUAUUCAUUCUCUACUGCAUCCCAUCACAGAGAGGAAAAGGAGACUACGUGUAGAUUUGGAAGACCAUAACGUGAAAUUCAUAUUGCAUUAACCAUGUCUGAUUCAGGUAUGCUUCCGCUUUAAUUCUUGUAUUUCUUGAUGAUUUAACAUGAAAGAUCCAGUAAUUUAAAGCACUAAAUUAUCCAACAAAAGGGUCAUCCGGCAAAGGGUUUGAAAGAUUGAUCAAGCUUUUUAGAGAUUCAAACACUAAGCACUUGUUUGAUUCUCUAUGAACUCAAGAACACAGUGGAAAAGGAAGAAGAUGGUUUUGUUUUUCUUUCUUCUCUCUUGUUUGAUCUUAUAAACAUGAAUUAUAAGUGUUUUUUUCAUUCUCUUUUGAUGAUCAAAAACUAACUAUUUAUAGUUAUGCAACAUAGCUUCACGAAGUGGUGCCAAAAUUAAAUGAAAGGCUGCCAAAAAACCACCCAAACCAACUCCAACGGUCACUAAACUUAUACCAUGCGACCGCAUGGUGAAAAUCCAUGAACUGAGGCCAUUUGCCCUCGGUUGGUUGCCAUGCGAUCGCAUGGUUUUUUGAACAACUAUCACAAUCCCUAAUAGAGUGAAUAAGAUUGUAUUUUUAAUGCUGAUUACUCAUGAUUAUUUGCUAAUAUACAAGUAUAUUUGGGAUUAAUAAUGAUAUUUUUAUAUAGUUGAAUGAAGGUCAAUCCUAAUUGUGGUGUUUACAAUUUUAUUGUAGAAAUGGAGUCCAAAAAUAACAAAGUUCAAGGCCCAUAAGAGAGGACUCAAUUCAAGUGGACUUAACCCAGCCCAAUCAAAAUAAAAUAGAUUGGAAAGAUUAAUGAAGGGAGCAAAAUCUAUGGAAGACGUCUCUUGCUGUGAAGAAAUCCCGAAUUGGAAACACAUCUGUACUGCCCUUCGUAUUUUCACCAUAUCUCCCUCAUCCGAUGUCAUAUUGAGCUGAUUCAAGAGGCCUUGGAAAGAUAAUUUAACGUGCUACAAUUUCUCAUGAAAUAGAGAUUUUGAAAUUCUCACGUUUUCUAAGUGAAAAAUGGCCCACAAUCCAAGGAUAAAAAUCUGUGAAUUGAAGAGGCGAAUUCGGGAUUGAUUCUUUCUUUUCCUGGUGAAGAUGGCUUGAAAGGAGUGGAAGAGGAAAAAAAAAAGCAGGGGACGACCAAGAAGGCUAGGACCUAGGUGGAUCGAUUCUUUUUCUUCCCUUUUGGCUAUCAAAAGAGGGAAGCCACUCCAAGAAAACGGGAGACCAGAUUCACCGAGUUUUUCCUUCUUACCAUCUCUUUCAAUUUCUUGAUGUUAACUCUUUAUUUAAACUUUUCUUCAAUUUUAGCAUGAAUUAAUUUCUAUCUUCUAGAAUUUGAGAUGUAGCCUAACUACGAUUAUGUGAAUCUUCCUUUACUUGAAUUAAUUGGUAUUUGUUCGAAUUGUUGAGUAUUUCAUUUUGGACUUAAUGCUUGUGAAUUGACUAAUCACCAUUCAUUUGAGUUGGGAUUCAAUUUGAGACAGAGAAAUAAUAAUUGUUUCAGCCAAUGUUUGAGAUGCCACAUGAAUUCUGUAGGAUAGAGAUAUCUAUGGACUUGUGUAAUCUUUAUGGGUUUAUUUUUGUUCUUAAUGAAUCUUGACAGGCUUAGAAUUUUCACAAAGAUAUAGAAAAUUUUCUUGUUGAGAUAUUUCGUUAAUGCUUUAGAAAGAUUAAUGAAUAAAUUAGAAAGACUUGAUUAUCAACAAUUAGGAAUACUUACAAUUAAUUCAAUUAGGAUAUUCACAUGAGUAGUUAUGGUGAAUCGAAAACUUUAGAGUAUUGUUUUCUUGAUUUUAACUUGCUUGUUCAAUUCAUCUUAGUUUAAGCUUUCUGGUUUAAUAAUUCAUUUACAUUCGAAUUGUCAAAUAGAUCAUCAUUCAACAAAUUUUGAUAAUUAUUCGUAAUUUUUCAUUCCUCAUGAGACGAUACUCUUACUCAUUCACUUUAUUACUUGUUGUGACUCGUGCACUUGUGAUUUCAACCAACAAGUUUUUGGUGCCGUUGUCGGGGAAUUAGAUAAAAUUAUUGAUAAUAUCAAUACUAGUUAAAUUUGAUCUAAUUUGAUUUAUUUUUUUUUAUUUCCAGGUUUUGCUUAGUACAUGAGAAGCAAAAAGAGCUUGGAAUUGCUGCCUUAUGAUCCAGAAAUUGAAAAAACAGCAAAAAGACUGAGGAAAAAGUAGCGAGAAGCUCGAAAAAAUUCAAACACUAUGGCAGACAACGAGAAUCCAAGACAUGACACACGAGCUCUAAGGGAUUUUGCUCUACCACAGGUCACAGGAAUCAAUUCAGUCAUUAGGAAACCUAGUAUUGCAGCCAACAACUUUGAGAUUAAGCCAGCUAUCCUACAAAUGAUCCAAACAUCAAUUCAAUUCCAUGGAUUUCCGAGUGAUGAUCCCAAUGCCCAUAUAGCAAGUUUUCUGGAAGUUUGUGACACCUUCAAGCAAAAUGGUCUUACUGAUGAUGCCAUUCGCCUCCGGCUAUCUCCUUUCUGUCUUCGAGAUAGAGCAAAAAGUUGGCUAAAUUCAUUACCUGCAGAUUCAAUCACUAGUUGUGAAGAUUUAGAUCAGAAGUUUCUCGCUAAAUUUUUUCCACCAGCAAAGAUGUGCAAUGAAAUUUCAAAUUUUUCUCAAUUGGAGGGUGAAACACUUUACGAGGCUUGGGAGCGAUAUAAAGACCUACUCAGGCGAUGCCCUCACGAUGGAUUGUCGAAGUGGAUGCAAGUUCAGAACUUCUAUAAUGGACUUGCUGCCUCUAUAAGAACUCUAAUAGAUGCUUCUUCAGGAAGAGCAUUUAUGGGCAAAUCCCUAGACGAUGCAUAUGAUCUGUUGGAGGAGAUGGCGAUGAACAACUAUCAAUGGCCAAAUGAGAGAAUUUUACCGAAGAAAGAAGUAGGAGUGCAUGAGGUUGAAGCUAUCACUACCUUGAUAGCUCAAGUCCAUAAUCUUACUCAACAAUUGAAAACCAACCAACUGACAGCAAAUGCCAUUCAAUUGACACCACCGGCUUGUGAUUUUUGUCAUGGAAACCAUCCGAGUGAAGAAUGUCAAGUGGGAAAUCCUUUCUUUCAAUCCCAAGCGGAGCAAGCACACUUUGUUGCAAAUUAAAAUCGGCAAAACAAUCCAUAUAGUGCAACAUACAACCCUGGAUGGAAAAAUCACCCCAAUUUUUCAUGGAAUAAUCAGAAUGCAUUGAAACCUCCACAUGGUUCGUCAUCUAGUGAUCCGCCGAAAGAGAAGUCAGCACUUGAAGAAGCAAUGGCACAAUUAGCAACUAACACCAACAGAUUUAUAACAGAUACUAAGACCAAUUUUCAGAAUCUUCGAUAUGGAAUUUAGAAGUCCAUGUCGGUUAAUUGGCUAAUAUGUUAACUCGGAGACAACAAGGAAACUUGCCUAGCACGAUUGAAGUGAAUCCAAAGGAACAGUUCAAGGCAAUCACUUUGAGAAAUGGAAAAGAGUUAGAAGCUCCAAUUACUAGUGAAAAGUUGAAAAAGAAGAUCAAGAGAUGCAACUCCACACACCAACGCUUAGCGAGGAGAUUUCUGACAAUCAACCAAUCCCACCACAGGAUCUAUCACCAAAAGUUCCAUUACCUCAACGACUCAAAAAGAAUAAGCUUGAUAAGCAAUUUUCUAAAUUUUUAGAUGUGUUUGAAAAAUUGCAUGUUAACAUUCCUUUUGCAGAAGCUCUCAAUCAAAUGCCAAGUUAUGUGAAAUUUAUGAAGGACAUCUUGUCAAAUAAGAGGGGAUUGGAAGAAUAUGAGACAGUAGCCCUUACUGAAGAGUGCAGUGCAAUUCUACAAAAGAAAUUGCCUCCAAAGCUCAAGGAUCCAGGGAGUUUUACUAUCCCUUGUUCAAUUGGAAAUUCUAUGUUUGAAAGAGCUUUAUGUAACUUAGGUGCAAGUAUUAAUCUUAUGCCUUUGUCUAUUUUUAGGAAACUUGGACUAGGUGAGGCGAGACCUACUACAGUAUCAUUGCAAUUAGCGGAUCGCUCAAUAAAACACCCAAGGAAAAUUAUUGAGGAUGCGCUUGUUAAGGUGGACAAGUUUAUUCUUCCAGCCGACUUCCUCAUUCUAGACCUGGAGGAGGAUAGGGAAAUUCCUAUCAUUCUUGGCAUACUAUUCUUAGCUGCUGGCUGAGCUCUAAUUGAUGUCCAAAGGGGAGAAUUAUGGUUGAGAGUACAAGAGGAGGAGGUAACCUUUAAUGUUUUUGAUGCCAUCAAGUAUCCGGAUACAAGUGAGAGUUGUUUCAGCAUCCGAGCAAUCGACUCCUUGGUCACUGAAGUAUUUAACCAACAAAAGGAGUCGUUGGAAGUUUGUUUGGUUAAUCCCAAUCCGACUAUGGUGGAGGAUCCAGAAGUGUUAGAAUAUGCUCUGUGGAUGGAUUCUUUUGGUCCUAACCGUGAAAAUAUUUUGAAGAUUUGGGACAUGGAACAUCACGGCCCCUUCCAUCUAUUGAGAAACCUCCCACAUUGGAGCUUAAGCCCUUACCUGAACAUCUUCAAUAUGCGUCUCUUGGUGAAUCAUCUACUCUUCCGAUAAUUAUUUCAUCCAAGCUUUCGAUUGAAGAAGAAGAAAAGUUGUUAAGAGUGCUUAGAGAACAUAAGGCAGCUAUUGGAUGGAUACUUGCAGAUAUCAAGGGAAUUAGCCCUUCUAUUUGUAUGCACCGAAUUUUGUUGGAGGAAGAUUGCAAGCCAACGAUGGAGCAUCAAAGAAGACUCAAUCCGACAAUGAAGGAAGUGGUGCGUAAAGAGGUCUUAAAAUGGUUAGAUGCUGGAGUGACUUACCCAAUUUCUGAUAGCUCAUAGAUCAGUCCUGUGCAAGUAGUACCAAAAAAGGGAGGAAUGACAGUGGUGAAGAAUGCUAACAAUGAGUUGAUCCCUACAAGAAUAGUUACCGGAUGGAGAAUUUGCAUGGAUUAUUGAAAAUUGAACAAAGCCACUCGGAAGGACCACUUCCCCUUACCAUUCAUUGAUGAAAUGUUGGAUAGGCUAGCCGGGCAUGAGUACUAUUGCUUCCUAGAUGGCUAUUCGGGGUAUAAUCAAAUAGCCAUAGCACCAGAGGACCAAGAGAAGACCACCUUCAUAUGCCUUUAUAUCACUUCCACCUUCCGUCGAAUGCCAUUUGGACUUUGCAAUGUGCCAGCCACCUUCCAAAGGUGUAUGAUGUCAAUCUUUUCAGAUAUGGUAGAGCGGAUUAUUGAAAUUUUCAUGGAUGAACUUUCUGUAUUAGGAUCGUCUUUUGAUGAUUGUCUUGGGAAUUUGGCGUUAGUUUUGAAGAGAUGUGAAGAAACUAACCUUGUACUUAAUUGGGAAAAGUGUCACUUCAUGGUAAAAGAGGGAAUUGUCUUGGGUCAUCGGAUCUCUUCAAAGGGAAUUGAAGUGGAUAGAGCAAAAAUUGAGACAAUCGAGAAGCUUCCACCACCAACAAUAAUAAAAGGAGUACGGAGCUUUCUUGGAUAUGCCGAAUUUUAUAGAAGAUUUAUUAAAGACUUUUCCAAGAUCUCCAAACCCCUUUGUAGCUUGCUUGUGAAAGAAACACCUUUUGUGUUUGAUGAAGAAUGUGAUAAGGCGUUAUUGCUACUAAAAGAGAAGCUUGUGUCUGCUUUGAUUGUUAUAGCUCCGGAUUGAGAUCUACCGUUUGAAUUGAUGUGCAAUGCAAGUGACUAUGUGAUUGGUGCGGUAUUGGGGCAGCGAAGGAACAAACGGUUUCAUACCAUUUACUAUGCUAGUAGAACCCUUAAUGAUGCCCAACUCAACUAUGCCACCACUGAGAAGGAACUUCUUGCUAUAGUCUUCGCUUUUGACAAGUUUCGACCAUAUCUCAUUGGGAAUAAGGUGAUAGUCUACACUGAUCAUUCCGCAAUUAAAUACCUUAUCAUAAAGAAGGAAGCCAAGCCAAGACUCAUCCGUUGUGUUCUCUUGCUACAAAAAUUUCAUAUUGAGAUUAAAGACAAGAAGGGAACUGAAAAUAUAGUGGCAGAUCAUCUCUCACUGCUAGAGUCAUAGGAGCAACUUGAGUCCCAACAACUGCCCAUAGAUGAUAAAUUCCUGGAUGAGCAACUUUUAGCUAUUUCUUCUAACAAUCCUUUACCAUGGUAUGCAGAUUAUGUCAAUUUUCUUGCAGAAAAAAUCAUUCUCUCCAACUUUUCUAUCAACAAAAGAAGAAAUUUCUGUCGAAAGUAAAGCAUUACUAUUAGGAAGAACCAAUACUCUACAGGCUUUGUGUGGACCAAAUAAUCAGGCGAUGUGCUCCGAAAGAGGAGAUGACAGAUAUUUUGAUGCAUUACCAUACACUAGAAUGUGGAGGGCAUUUCGGACCUCAUCGGACAGCAGCUAAAGUUCUCCAAUCCGAAUUUUAUUGGCCAACAUUUUUCAAGGAUUCUCAUACUUUUAUUGCCUCUUGUGAUAGAUGCCAAUGCUCCGGGAACAUAUCUAAAAUAAAUGAAAUGCCUUUGUAGAAUAUUCUAGAGGUGGAGUUGUUUGAUGUUUGGGGUAUUGACUUCAUGGGACCCAUUCCUUCAUCCUACAACAACAAAUAUAUUCUUCUAGCAGUGGAUUAUGUAUCUAAUUGGGUAGAGGAAAUCGUAACUCCUACUAAUGAUGGAAAAGUGGUGCAGAAUUUUCUUCGGAAGAAUAUUUUUUCCAGAUUUGGGACUCCUAGGGCCAUUAUUAGCGAUGAAGGGACUCACUUUUGUAACAAGCAGUUUAAAGGUCUAUUAUUAAAAUAUGGAGUAAGACAUCUAAGAGCAUUGGCUUAUCACCCUCACACAAAUGGACAAGCGGAGAUAUCAAAUAGGGAGGUAAAGCAAAUUCUAGAGAAAACAGUUAACAAUUCUCGAAAAGAUUGGGCCAAAAAGUUAGAUGAUGCGCUAUGGGCUUAUCGGACAGCAUACAAAACACCUUUGAGAAUGUCUCCUUAUUGGUUAGUCUAUGGAAAAACAUGCCACCUUCCUGUAGAGCUCGAGCACAAAGCUUAUUUGGCGAUGAAGCAACUAAACAUGGAUCUUCAAGCAGCUGGUGAAAAGCGUUGUUUGCAAAUUAAUAAGAUGGACGAGUUUCGUAAUGAAGCUUAUGAGAAUGCAAGGAUUUACAAGGAAUGGACCAAGGCUUGGCAUGAUAAGCACAUCUCAAAGAAAGAGUUUCUACCUGGACAACAAGUUUUACUUUACAAUUCAAGGCUUCGUCUUUUUCCAAGAAAGCUCAAAUCUCGAUGGUCAGGCCCAUUCACAGUUGUUAAAGUUUUUCCCCAUGGAGCAGUGGAAAUCACUCAUGAUGAGAAGGGGACAUUUAAAGUGAAUGGACAACGUUUGAAGCUUUAUUUAAGUGGAGAAUUUGACAACAAGAAGACCACCAUUCUUCUUAAUCCGGCCUAGAAGAAGAGCAACAGUCAAGCUGCUGACUAUAAUUAAGUGCUUCUUGGGAGGCAACCCAAGCAUUCAAACCUCUGUUUUGCUUUUUUUUUUAUUCCCUUGCAAUUUGUUUAAUUUUAUAUAUUCUUCUUUUCGUUAAUUACUUUGUGUGUUUUCUGAUUUCAAUUUAUUUAUUUAUUUUGGGUGUGGCAGUGACGCAGUUCUCCACCUUCUUGCUCCAGUACUUGAAUGCAUUGAUGAGGAUGUCAAGAGAGAUGAAACUUGAUCCAUCUUCACCAAUGAACAGGGAAGUUUCUUCUUAUCAUUUUUUUCCCUUUCUUUGUUCCACAUUGAGGACAAUGUUAGGUUUUAGUUGGGGAGGGGGGUGUUGAGCAUGAAUAUAUGCAUUCUUGUUUGCAUGAAUUUAGAUUUGGUAUCAUGAAUGCAUUCCAAUUUACAUGAAUUCAGCUUUGGUAUUUUGGCUUGAUUACAAUGUAUUUUUGCUUGAGUCAAUAGUGCUAUCUGAAUAUGAUAUUGAAACACCUCAGAAAUUUUGAAUUCCUAUUUGCAUGAAUUUAGAUUUGGUAUCAUGAAUGCAUUCCAAUUUACAUGAAUUCAUCUUUGGCAUUUUGGCUUGAUUACAAUGUAUUUUUGCUUGAGUCAAUAGUGCUAUCUGAGUAAGAUAUUGAAAUACCUUAGAAAUUUUUUCUUUUCAUACACGUAAACUAAGCUCAUGUGGUUUGAUGGAUGUGGAACUCAUACAAUUAGAGAACACUCAAAUUAAAGUUGCAACCUUUUACACUUGUGAGCAAUUGGGCCAUUCUCAUUUUUCUGAGAGAUGUUAUCAUAUUCUUAAUAUUACCUUCAGCAUUGUCUCGUUACAUGAUCUCAUUAUUCCCCAAAUUUGGUUAACUAAUGGGAAUGCCAUUACACGGUUUGUGGUAUGUUGGUUUGAUUAUACUCAGGAAAUGAUGAAGGUCAAUUUAGGAUGUAGUUUAAGCUUUUCAAGCCGACCAAUGUCUCAUUGAAUAUAAGUCACUUUGAACUAAAAUCUCUAAGCCAUUUAUUUCCUCACCCACUCCACAUUGGAGGUUGAGCCUAAGUUAAACAUCUCCUUUACCUUCAAAUAUCAAGUAUGUAGUAUAGAUUGUGGAACAUGCUGUUGAAAAAAAAAAUCAGAAAUGAAUGAAGAAAGGGUAUGAAAAAUAUUUUAGAGCAAGGUGUGUUGUUGCAAAAAUCCCAAAAAAAAAAAAAAAAUCUAUUUUUUUACCAUUGGACACAAUUGCAGUUGCAUACUUUGACCAAAUGUCUCACAUGUGGAGCCCCCUUGGUGGAAAAAUGGGCACCAGACAACCUUUAAGUCUACGAGUUGAUGAAGAUCCUCAAUAUAUACUUGAGAAUUAAUAUUUUUCUUCAAUAUUCUUAUCCUUCCUUUCAAUUUCACCCCAGUCAUAUUACAACCCUUUAUUGACUUUUUUUUAUCCUAAGUGGGUUAGUGGUUAGAAUGGUUGAGUUCCUAUUAGUUGGCAUCCUCUCAUGAGAUCAAUUUUGUUAUUUCACUCUUUUGCUCCUAUUUCACUCAUUUGCCCGCAGACAAUUAUUCCUUCCAUAUAUUUGAGUGGCAAUUUUUUUCAACCUUCAUUACCUUUGUUGGCAAUAGUUUUUUUUUUUUUUUGGUCGAAUACUACACUUAAUAUUUGCAAAAAUAACUUUUUUCUGGGAUGUUCUCAACAUUGUAUGAGUUUUGCUUCGAUGGAAAGAUGUUGAAGAGCUUAACACACACACACACACACGAGUUCUAGGAGUGUGCUUUGACAAACAAACUUUGAUAGCAUUGUUGAUCUCUGGUAAAUGCUUUGUUUGAUGAGCCUAAAUAUUUUUGCUUAAUUCGUAUAAAAGGAUUUUCACUUGGGACAGGUAGCAAUACUCUUUCUUCGCUUGAAUUGCUAGGAACUAGCAACACGCUAGUUGGGGGGUGUGAUAGAGUGAAUAAGAUUGCAUUUUUAAUGCUGAUUGCUCAUGAUUAUCUGUUAAUAUACAAGUAUAUUUGGGAUUAAUAAUGAUAUUUUUAUAUAGUUGAAUGAAGGUCAAUCCUAAUUGUGGUGUUUACAAUUUUAUUGUAGAAAUGGAGUCCAAAAAUAACAAAGUUCAAGGCCCAUAAGAGAGGACUCAAUUCAAGUGGACUUAACCCAGCCCAAUCAAAAUAAAAUAGAUUGGAAAGAUUAACGAAGGGAGCAAAAUCUGUGGAAGACGUCUCUUGCUGUGAAGAAAUCCCGAAUUGGAAACACAUCUGUACUGCCCUUCGUAUUUUCACCAUAUCUCCCUCAUCUGAUGUCGUAUUGAGCUGAUUCAAGAGGCCUUGGAAAGCUAAUUUAACGUGCUACAAUUUCUCAUGAAAUAGAGAUUUUGAAAUUCUCACGUUUUCUAAGUGAAAAACGGCCCACAAUCCAAGGCUAAAAAUCUGCCGAGUUGAAGAGGCGAAUUGGGGAUUGAUUCUUUCUUUUCUUGGUGAAGAUGGCUUGAAAGGAGUUGAAGAGGGAAAAAAAGCAGAGGACGACCAAGAAGGCUGGGACCAAGGUGGAUCGAUUCUUUUUCUUCCUUUUUGGCUAUCAAAAGAGGGAAGCCACUUCAAGGAAACAUGAGACCAGAUUCACUGAGUUUUUCCUUCUUCCCAUCUCUUUCAAUUUCUUGAUGUUAACUCUUUAUUUAAACUUUUCUUUAAUUUUAGCAUGAAUUAAUUUCUAUCUUUUAGAGUUUGAGAUGUAGCCUAACUAAAAUUAUGUGAAUCUUCCUUUACUUGAAUUAACUGAUAUUUGUUCCAAUUGUUGAGUAUUUCAUUUUGGACUUAAUGCUUGUGAAUUGACUAAUCACCAUUCAUUUGAGUUGGGAUUCAAUUUGAGACAGAGAAGUAAUAAUUGUUUCAGCCAACGUUUGAGAUAUCACAUGAAUUUUGUAGGAUAGAGAUAUCUAUGGACUUGUGUAAUCUUUAUGGGUUUAUUUUUGUUCUUAAUGAAUCUUGACAAGCUUAGAAUUUUCACAGAGAUGUAGAAAAUUUUCUUGUUGAGAUAUUUUUUUAAUGCUUAAGAAAGAUUAAUAAGUAAAUUAGAAAGACUUGAUUAUCAACAAUUAGGAACACUUACAAUUAAUUCAAUUAGAAUAUUCACAUAUGAGUAGUUAUGGUGAAUCGAAAAAUCUAGAGUAUUGUUUUCUAAAACUUGUUGGUUGAAAUUGCAAGUGCACGAGUCCUAAAAGUAAUAAAGUGAAUGAGUAAGAGUAUCAUCCCACGAGGAAUGAAAAAUUACAAAUAAUUAUCAAAAUUUAUUAAAUGAUGAUCUAUUUGACAAUUCGAAUGUAAAUGAAUUAUUAAACCAAAAAGUUUAAACUAAGAUGAAUUGAACAAGCAAGUUAAAAUCAAGAAAACAAUACUCUAGAGUUUUCGAUUCACCAUAAAUACUCAUAUGUGAAUAUCCUAAUUGAAUUAAUUGUAAGUGUUCCUAAUUGUUGAUAAUCAAGUCUUUCUAAUUUAUUCAUUAAUCUUUCUAAAACAUUAACGAAAUAUCUCAACAAGAAAAUUUUCUACAUCUCUAUGAAAAUUCUAAGCCUGUCAAGAUUCAUUAAAAACAAAAAUAAACCCAUAAAGAUUACACAAGUCCAUAGAUAUAUCUAUCCUACAAAAUUCCUGUGGUAUCUCAAACAUUAGCUGAAACAAUUAUUACUUCUCUGUCUCAAAUUGAAUCCCAACUCAAGUGAAUGGUGAUCAGUCAAUUCACAAGCAUUAAGUUCAGAAUGAAAUACUCAACAAUUGGAACAAAUACCAAUUAAUUCAAGUAAAGGAAGAUUCACAUAAUCGUAGUUAGGCUACAUCUCAAAUUCUAGAAGAUAUAAAUUAAUUCAUGCUAAAAUUGAAGAAAAGUUUAAAUAAAGAGUUAACAUCAAGAAAUUGAAAGAGAUGGAAAGAAGGAAAAACUCAGUGAAUCUGGUCUCCCGUUUCCUUGGAGUGGCUUCCCUCUUUUGAUAGCCAAAAAGGAAGAAAAAGAAUCGAUCCACCUUGGUCCCAGCCUUCUUGGUCGUCCUCUGCUUUUUUUUCCUCUUCCACUCCUUUCAAGCCAUCUUCACCAGGAAAAGAAAGAAUCAAUCCCGAAUUCACCACUUCAAUUCGACAUAUUUUUAGCCUUGGAUUGUGGGCCUUUUUCACUUAGAAAACGUGAGAAUUUCAAAAUCUCUAUUUCAGGAGAAAUUGUAGCAUGUUAAAUUAGCUUUCCAAGGCCUCUUGAAUUAGCUCAAUACAACAUCGGAUGAGGGAGAUAUGGUGAAAUACGAAGGGCAGUACAGAUGUGUUUUCUAGGGAUGGCAAUUUGAACCGUCAAAAUCGAAAACCGCGGUUAACUGAACCGAAUGGGGCGAAAAAAACCGAACCGAUGGUGCAAUGGGGCGGAUAUGGUUUUUAUUUUAAUGAACCGGUUCUUGGCGGUGCGGGUAUGGUAUUUACGCCGUCGAACUGAAAUCGAACCGAUUACCCGCUAAAAAAAAAACAAAAAAAAAUUGAAUUGAUUAUUGGGUUUUACACUACUUUUCUAUCUAGCCCAAAACAAAAUCCCCCUCUCCCCAAUUACAUCUAUAUGACUCAGUCGGCCAACCCACUUAUCAUUAGCCCAUAAUAAUAGUAUCAGUAUGACAUUAUAUAAAUGCAAAUCUUACUCUCCACAAACCACAAACUCACGCACGGCUCCUUUUAUUGUUAAUUUUUUUCUAUUGUGUGUAGAAAAUUCUACUUCUUCAUCAUACUCUAGAGCUUGUGCAACGUUUAGCGAGAAGAAAGCUUACAAAGAGGUAGAUUUUUUUUAUUUAAAUCUUAGUUAAAACCAUUCUAGAAUAGGUAGUAUCGUUGUAUUCUCUACUUACAUUUCUUAUUUACUAUAUAAGAAUCAACUUUGAGUGUUGAUCUAUGCUAGUAAGAUUUGUGGGGAAGAAUGAAUCAAGUAAUUUCGAUGCACAAUAAUUAAGAAUGAAGGAAAAGUUUAGUAUUGUUAUAUUUAUAAUAUUGUUUGUUAAAUUUGUAUUUUACAAUUGAAAAUUGGGAUAAUGUUUGCUUUUUCAUUUGAAAUAUUGUUUCAUAAUGUUUGCAUUUUCGUUUAAAAUAUUGUGUUUUUGUUUUCAUUGACUUUUUUCAUAAAUUGUUUUAUAUCAAUUUGAUGGAUGAACCUAUAGAAAAUAAUUUAUUUUCGUGGUUAUUAACCGAACCGAACCGUGCUGAACCGAGAUGAUAACCGAACUGAACCGAUUUACGUGGUUAUGGUAUGGUCAAAAAAUUGGUGAUGCGGUUAUGGUUUUGGCCGAACCGACCCAUAACCGAAUAGUUGCCAACCCUAGUGUUUCCAAUUCAGGAUUUCUUCAUAGCAAGAGACGUCUUCCACAGAUUUUGCUCCCUUCAUUAAUCUUUCCAAUCUAUUUUAUUUUGAUUGGGCUGGGUUAAGUACACUUGAAUUGAGUCCUCUCUUAUGGGCCUUGAACUUUGUUAUUUUUGGGCUCCAUUUCUACAAUAAAAUUGUAAAGACCACAAUUAGGAUUGACCUUCAUUCCACUAUAUAAAAAUAUCAUUAUUAAUCCCAAAUAUGCUUGUAUAUUAGCAAAUAAUCAUGAGCAAUCAGCAUUAAAAAUGCAAUCUUAUUCACUCUAUCAAUCCCUCACUUGUUCAAAAACAACAAUGUUCCAUAUUCGAAUUAUACGAUACUCAUGCAUAAGGAUUAGAUAUCUUUCGAUUUGAAUCUGACCAUAGUGUAAUUCAAACGAAGUAAAGUCGAAAUUCAAGGUAGCAUGAAGCUUUGAACCAAGUUUUUCAUGUGACAAUACCGAUAAGAACACACACACGAAUAUCAUGUGCUCUCAAGUUUCUCACUACUCGCUUAGCGCUUUUAUGGCCUUGCGCUUAUCAUUUUCAACAAACUUUUAAGAGAGAUACUCCAACUCUCUAUUAAGGCGACACCACCUUGAAGUUCGUUUAGGUAAAAAUUCUUCCAGUACCUUUGUUACUUUUAGAGGUACUUGUGUUUAGCACUGAACUUUUAUUAAGAGCUUAAGGCUCAACUCUCAUUUCAGUAACAACCAGCAUUAUUUUAUCUAGGAUAGGAUUAUUGUGGAUUUGAAUAAUGCUGCAAUUAUCCAUAUAUCAAAUGACUUGUUAUUACCUUUUGAACCCGUGUAUUACCUUUUGACUAACGACAGGUAGGGUUGCCGUCAUUGGUGGAUAUUUUAGUUAAGGAGUUUCAAUCCUAUCCUACUCGAAGUAGAUGCUACUAAAUCUCUAUUUAGAGGUUUAGUUAAAGGAUCCGCCAAAUUUUCAAUUGACCUUACAUAAUUUAGAAAAACUAUUCCAUCUUUGAUUAAUUUCCUUAUAUAGUUAUGUCUUAAACUCAUAUGUCUAGAUUUUCUAUUAUACACCUCAUUGUAUGCUUUUGCUAAUGUGGCUUGACUAUCACGCGUGAUAGGUAUUGAAGAUAUAUUCUUCGAUCCCAAAGGAAUCUCAUAGAAGAGAUCCUUAAGCCACUCAGCUUCCUUCCCUGUAUCUGAUAGGGCUACAAAUUCUGAUUCCAUGGUCGAGUGUGUUAUGCAUGUUUGUUUCUUUGACUUCCAAGAAACAGCACCUCCUCCUAGAGUGAACACCCAACCCGAGGUGGAUUUACUUUCACCGUGCUAGAUAUCCAACUAGCAUCGAUAAAUCAUUUUAAUACCACUGAAAAUUUAGUAUAUUGUAGACCUAAUUUCUUGGUUUUCUUUAAGUAUCCAAGAACUCUCCCGAUAGCUUUCCAGUGAUCAUUGCUAGUAAACCUACUAAGUUUACUUAUUGCAUAAGCUAUAUACGGUCUUUUGCAUUGAACUGCAUAUAUAAGACUUCCAAUGAUGCUUGCAUAUUCCAAUUGAGCAAUUGCCCUUCCAUCAUUUUUUACUAGUUUUGAACUUAGAUCAAUAGGGGUACUACACUCCUUUAAGUUCAAGUAUUUGAACUUGUUUAUCACAUUCUCGAUAUAAUGUGACUGACUUAGAUGAUAACCCCCCAGUAUUUGAGACUUUGAUACCCAAAAUAGUAUCCACUUGUCCAAGAUCCUUCAUUUUGAAGGUGGAAGAUAGAAACCUCUUCAUUUCUUCUAUACUGUCCAUGUGAUUACUUAUAAUCAACAUGUCAUCAAUAUAUAAGCAUUAAAUAUCAUGUAAUCAUCACAUAUUUUAGAAUAUAAACAUCUAUCUACACUAUUAUGUUUAAACUCCAAUGAUAUUAUUGCUAGGUCAAAUUUCUCAUGCCACUUCUUAGGUGCUUGUUUUAAACCAUUUAGCGAUUUAACUAACUUGCAUACCUUAUCUUCAUUUUCAAGUAGAACAAACCCUUCGGGUUGCUCCAUAUAGAUCUCCUCAUCAAGAUCCCCAUUUAAGAAUACUGUCUUGACAUCCAUUUGAUGAACAUGCAAGUCAUCUAUCGAAGCUAAUGCAAAUAAUAUCCUAAUUGUUGUUAUUCUUGCUACUAGUGCAUAAGUGUCAGAAUAGUCGAUUUCUUUCCUUUGUCGGUAUCCUUUGACUACUAAUCUAGCCUUGAAAGUAUUUAGAGAAACAUCAACAUUAUAUUUUCUCUUAAAUACCCAUUUACAUCCAAUAGGUUUGGAUCCGAGUGGUAGAUCGACAAGUUCCCAAGUUUUAUUAGACAAUAUCGAAUCCAUUUCAUCUUUAAUUGCAUCUUUCCAAAAGAUGCCAUCACGAGAAGUAAUAGUUUCUUUAUAAGUUUUAGGGUCGAUUUCUACUUAUAGAAGAAAAGGAAUUAUUCUUACGACAUUCAACUCAUUUCCUUCUACUAAUUAAAAGGAGAUAAGUUGAUAAUCAAUUUCAUCCGGUCCCAAAGACUUCUCAACUCGAGUUAUCUUACUUCUUCAUAGUUCACUAGACUCAUUAAUAUCUUUAGAAGACAUUUCAUCCCGUGUUCCACUUGAGCUCGGGAUAUUUUCUUGAUUUUUCCUUAAUUCAUUAUCUGAAGAUAACAAAUCUUCAAAGAACUUUAUAUCACUUGAUUCGAUGAUCACAUUGGUCUCAAAAUUUAGCAAUCUAUAAGAUUUGUUAUUGUUAGCAUAUCCAACAAAAGCACAUUUGAUACUUCUUGGACCUAAUUUGGUCCUAUUAGGGUUCGUGUUCUUGCAAUAUGCAAAACACCCCUAUACUUUGAAGUAUUCAAUGUUUGGUUUCCUUCCUUUCCACAAUUCAUAAGGACAAACAUUUGUAUGUUUUGAAGGAAUUAUAUUAAGUAUCCUACAUGCAUUUAACAAAGUUUCACCUCACAAAUUAAAUGGCAACUUAGCAUAUAUAAACAUGGCAUUAAUCAUUUCUACUAAUGUUUUAUUCUUUCUUUCAGCCAAACCAUUUUGUUCGUGUAUCCUAGGUGUGGAACAUUGGUGAAUUAUGCCAUGUUGUUCACAAAACAAAUUAAAAUUACUAGAAAAGUAUUCACCACCUCUGUCACUUCUUAAAAUUUUUAUUUUCUUUCCUAGAUAAUUUUCAACUUCAUUUUUAUUAAUCUUAAACAUGUUAAAAGCUUCAUGUUUAUGUUUCAUUAAAUACACGUAGGUAUAUCUAGAAAAAUCAUCAAUGAAAGUAAUGAAAUAUCUAUUUCCUCCUCUAGUUAACAUGUCAUUUAAUUCACAUAUAUCCGAAUGAAUUAAUUCCAAAAUACUAGAGGUUCUUUUUACACUUUGAUGUGGGUUUUUAAUCAUUUUUUUAUUCUACACAUGUUUUGCAUUUAUAAAUAUUAUUUUCAUCAUAUGAAAUCAAAUCACACUUUUUCAUACGUUUCAUAGUGCUUUUACCAAUGUGUCAUAAUCUAGCAUGCCAUAAUAAAAAUAAUUCAACAACAUAAGUAAAAUUAGAUUUAUUUAUUUCAUUGUUAACGGUACAUAAUUUCACCAUUCCAUCACAAGAAUAGCAUUUUCUAACAAAAUUUCCUUUAAGGGAUAAUACAAGUUUACCGGAUUCAUACACACAUUUGAUACCCGAUUUUCCUAAGAGAUUUCCACUGACCAAGUUCUUAAUCAUUUCUGGAACAUGUAGUAUAUUAGUAAGGGUAAUGAUUUUUCCAGAAGUGAAGAAUAUAUCAACAUUUCCCUUGCCAAUUACUUUGGACCAAACUUCAUUGCCCAUUUGAAUCUCUUGAUCUCCAUCUACUUCUUUAUAGGUUUUGAAUAAAGAUUUAUCAUAUGAUACAUACACUGUAGCACAAGUAUCAUACCACCACCCGGGAACCUUUCCCUUGAUUACAUUUAUUUCGCUUACGGUGGCCACAAUCUUUUCUUCUUGAAUGAAUUUUAUUUUACCGUCGGAGUUGUUUCUUUUCCGGUGUCUACAAUCCUUUGCGUAGUGUCCAGAUUUACCACACACAAAGCAUCCUCAUUUGAUCUUCUUCUUGGACUUGUUAAAGUUCCUUGAAGACUUCCUUUUAUUGGACUUUGUAGGCGGUUCAGAUUUCUUAAAGGCAUUGGCUUUAGAAGUUCCUUCCGAAGAAUUUUCACUUCUAUCACGCAAUAUGGAUUCUUCUUCAAUCCAAAAAUGUUUUUUUAAUUGUUCCAAAGUAUCUUCGGAACUAUGCAUUAUUUUCUUCCGGUAUCCUUUCCAAACCCUUGGGAGUUUAGCAAUUAUAGCCCCCACUUGAAAGGUCUCCAAAAUUUCAAUCUUUACCGCUUUUAAUUUGUUGAGAAUAACUUGUAACUCAUGUAUUUGGGGAAGAAGGAGAAUAUUAUCUAAAAAUUUAAAAUCAAAGCACUUUGAAAUUAAAAAUUUCUUAGUACCUUCUUCUUCCGCUUUAUACUUACUCUCCAAAACAUUCCAAAUUUCCUUUGCCGACGUAGUAUUUGUUUAUAAAUCAUAUAGAUGAUCUGAUAGUGCAUUCAAAAUGUGACCGCGGCAAAUUAAUUCAUCUUCUUGCCUUUUUUGUCUUUCAGCCCUAACUGCUUCGGUUUCUCCAUUUGUGGGUUCCGAUAGAGGCGUCAACUCGGGAUCUAAGAUGUAGAAGAUCUUCAAUGCAAUAAGAAGAAACUUCAAUUUGUCUUGCCAACGCGUGAAAUUUGUGUCAUCGAACCGAUCCAAUCGCACCAAGUCUUGAUUCAUAAGUUUUAUGGUUGACAUUUUAGUUUCGUUCUCCAUAUCAACUUCAAUAUUCGUUUGAGAUUGUUAGAAAUAGUUUCUCCACCAAGGGGUUAGAGAGCGAAUUACAAUUGUAGAUUGAAAGAAAAUUAGAAGAUGAAGAAUAUAAAACGAAUGUAGGAAGGCUAAAACACGAUAUGAGAUUGUUAUCUUCAAACGAAUUUUGCCCCCACUAGAAAAGAUUAUGGUGCUUAAAGGGUCAUCUGGCAAAAUGUUUGAAUGAUUGAUCAAGCCUUGUAAAGAUUCAAACACUAAGCACUUGUUUGAUUCUCUAAGAACUUAAGAACACAAUGGAAAAGGAAUAUGGAAGAAAAUGGUUUUGUUUUUCUUUCUUUUCUCUUGUUUGAUCUUAUAAACAUGUAAAUUACAAGUGUUUUUUUCAUUCUCUUUAGAUGAUCAAAAAUCACCUAAUUUAUAGCCAUGCAACAUAGCUUCACGAAGUGGUGCCAAAAUUAAGUGAAAGGCUGCCAAAAAACCACACAAACCGACUCCAACGAUCACUGAACUUAUACGAUGCGACCGCAUGGUGAAAAUCCAUGCGGUCGCAUGGUUAGUUAGAACCGAGGGGCCUCGGUUGGUUGCCAUGCGGUCGCGUGGUUUUUUGAACAACCAUCACAGUUAGUGCCAACUUCUUUGCAAGAUCCUGUUCCACCUCCUGUGCAAACUCCAAUGGUACAAUCUUCAUUAGUAUUUCCAGAAUACCAGUGGAGUAGGUAGGGCUGAGGAAGCGAAAAACACUGAGUUACUGGAAGGAUGAUUUCUUGUUGGAUACAACAGUCCUCCACAAGAUACACACAUAAAGGAAGGUAAGUAUAAACCUGAAAAAAUUGGAGCAGAUGCUGUCAUAUUAUUUUAAUAUAUAUAUAACCUGGACCCGAGCAAGUUUUCCAUUCAAAAUAUUAUAAUGUUUUAUUAUUUUUAGAUAACGAAAAAAAAAUUGCAAUUUUAUUAUUUUUAGAAAUCAAACCCUACACCAAUAACACAAUGUUUUUUCAUGUUAUUCAAAGUUAAAAUACUUUUAGAAUACACAUAAAAUUAUUAUAGAUUAAUGGCACAAAAGAUGCACAUUUUAUUCUUUUUUUUUUUCGCUUUCUGUAAAAGAUACUAAAAUUAGCACAUAUACUUGUACAGAAGAAGCACAUUUAAUAUUAAUUAUAGAAUACACAUAAAUUCCGUACCAGUAGCUCAGAAUUAGCACCAUGAGUUGCCUGUCUACUACUUUUACAUUAAACUCAAACUCUAGACCAAUAACACAAAGGAAGAUCAUGUUUUUAGGAGCUACUAAUCUUAGAACAAAAGCCUUUUUAAUAUCUCAAAGUUCAAAAACAAACACUGUAAAAAGAUAUAAUUAUAUUAUGUAGGAAAUUAUUUUACCUUAUUACUUUAAGUUGCACUACAAAAAAUUGCUUUAUUACGUGUCCAUUCAAGAAAUUGCACUUGUGGGUCAUGCAUUGCCUCUAAUUUUCCUAUUGUGAUCUACAUAUACACUAAGAAUCACUAGAAGUUUCCACAUGUAUACAUUUCAAAUUCAGCUUAGUUCGGCAUUUUUCCUUGGGAAAAUUGCAGCCGAGGUACCA
This 25814-nucleotide long non-coding RNA is filed under the name Olea europaea subsp. europaea. The record is from RNAcentral. Lineage: Eukaryota; Viridiplantae; Streptophyta; Magnoliopsida; Lamiales; Oleaceae.